This 306-nucleotide ribosomal RNA is filed under the name uncultured bacterium. Its description in RNAcentral is "partial 16S ribosomal RNA". It matches the Rfam family "Bacterial small subunit ribosomal RNA", at positions 523 to 828 of the family's 1533-position model. The record is from RNAcentral.
AUACGUAUGGGGCGAGCGUUGUCCGGAUUUACUGGGUGUAAAGGGAGCGUAGACGGCAAAGCAAGUCUGAAGUGAAAGCCCCGGGCUCAACCCGGGAAUUGCUUUGGAGACUGUGUAGCUGGAGUGCAGGAGAGGUAAGCGGAAUUCCUAGUGUAGCGGUGAAAUGCGUAGAUAUUAGGAGGAACACCAGUGGCGAAGGCGGCUUUCUGGACAGUAACUGACACUGAGGUACGAAAGUGUGGGGAGCAAACAGGAUUAGAUACCCUGGUAGUCCACACCGUAAACGAUGAGCACUACCUUGGGUGA